AGCGAACGCUGGCGGCAGGCUUAACACAUGCAAGUCGAGCGGAUGUAGCAAUGCAUCACCGGCGGACGGGUGCGUAACGCGUGGGAAUAUACCUUUUGGUUCGGAACAACUGCGGGAAACUGCAGCUAAUACCGAAUGUGCCCUAACGGGGAAAGAUUUAUCGCCAAAGGAUUAGCCCGCGUAGGAUUAGCUAGUUGGUGAGGUAAUGGCUCACCAAGGCUCCGACCUUAGCUGUUCUGAGAGGAAGAUCAGCCACACUGGGACUGAGACACGGCCCAGACUCCUACGGGAGGCAGCAGUUGGGAAUCUUGGACAAUGGGGGAAACCCUGAUCCAGCCAUGCCGCGUGAGUGAUGAAGGCC
This 361-nucleotide ribosomal RNA is filed under the name uncultured bacterium. RNAcentral describes it as "bacterial SSU rRNA". It matches the Rfam family "Bacterial small subunit ribosomal RNA", at positions 29 to 416 of the family's 1533-position model. The record is from RNAcentral.